UGUAGGACAGUGUAGGACUUUGGCAACCAAUAGCGCUUAUUUAUAUUAUAUAUAUGAUAUGGCCAACUAGAACUUUCGCUCUCAUCUCGUAGAGGGCAAGUCGACAGUUACAUAUUGUCGAUCAUACACAUAAGACGUACCUACAUAUUACACAGACGAGCGGAUUCCUCUUCGGUCAAGUUGAUUUCAUAUCUUGUCUGCUGUACACGCAAGACGUAUUAUAGAGACGUAUUAUAGAGACAAGCGGACUCCUGACCGGUGUCGCAACACUAAUUCGGAAUCAAAUAAAAAUUACGUUGUGUUCAAUUAAAUUACCUAGAAGAAAGAAGGAACUACCUCACAUUAAAAAAAUGUUACAGUAUAUUGCAUUGUUGCUCACCAUGAUGUUUGCGAUAUUCGUAGCCAAAUUAUUCGUAGAAACUUUUAUGAUGAAUAUUGAAAUACAAAAUAGGAGAAUCGAUAUAAAUUUACACCUCCAACAUAACAGUAUUUUGAGUUGGGUAAUUUACAUUUUACUAAUAUUCAUGGUGGCGGCAAUAGUAAUAUGCAAUAUAAUAAUAUUAGUGGUGGUACCACUGAUGCUAUGUUUAACUAUAUUCUAUUGCAUUUAUAUUAUAGGAAUUCAAUUAUACACAAUAAUAUUAUUUAUCUUGACAUGUAUUGAUGUCCACGAUGUCUUAAAAUUUUAAUAUACACUGACCACAUGUUUUACGUAAAGGCUGAAUUUCUUUCGGUAUUCUUAACUCAUUAAUCUAAUAAUCUUAAAAACAAUAUUGUAAUGACAACUUGCAUAGUAAAUUCCAAAUUAGCAACGCAGUUAUUAAUAAAAUGUUUAUUAUUUGCAUGCAAGUGGACAUAUAUUACAGAAUAUCAUAGACUUUAAUGAACAAUUUGUGACAAAUUAAUUAUCAUUAAAUUUAGUUGGAGAACCAUAUAAUAAUAAAACAAAAAUUGUUAAAUCAAUAGUUUUGUUCAAAUUUUCGUCAAUAUUAACAAACUAUGUCUAUGCAACUGCAUCAAAACUUAUAUAAAUAUUUUU
Molecule: long non-coding RNA, 1039 nt
Organism: Vollenhovia emeryi
Lineage: Eukaryota; Metazoa; Arthropoda; Insecta; Hymenoptera; Formicidae
Exons: 6
Source: RefSeq, a predicted model, not a curated record